GAUUGUCAUCUUCUCCAUUUCACUUUGCCGUAGCUCACACCAUAGAAGACCAAAUAUUUGUUUUGUCAUCCUUCCAUCAAAGCCAAGCCAAAACCUCACCAAAUCAAUUUCUUUCUUUAACCAAAAUUCAUCCUAAGACCUAGAUCUAAAGGAAGAGCCAUAUAUUGAAGGGAUUGAAGAAGAAAAGUUUAGGGUUCCAUUUACACCAAGCUUGAAAAUCAAAGGUAAGCUUAGAAAUGUGUAGGAAAUAACAUCUUCUCAUUUCUUCAUGCAUGGAUUUGAAUUAUAGAGCUUUAAUUUAUAGUUUAUUCAAUCCUUUCCUAAGACAUAAAUCUACCUAGGUGUAGGUGAAGGAACAUCAAGGGGAAAGGAGAUAGCUAGAGAUUAGAAGAGGAAAAGAAAGAAGGAAUCCAAGAAAGGUUUGGUGUUUGUAUGAUUUUCUGUUUUCCUUUGAUUUUGCCAUGAAUAAGUGAAAUUAGGGGUUGAUUUUAUUUGCUGUAAAUGUUGCUUUGAUUGUAUAAAUAUGUUAUAUGAAUGUUAAAAUGAUGUUUGAAAGGCUUAGAGUAAAGAAAUUUAACAUGAGAGCUGAAAGUGCAAAUCUGGCAGAAUAGGUUGUAACAGGGCAGCUUGUGUUGACAUCUUUAUAACUUAUUGUGUAUUUAUUGAAAUUAGGCCUAAGAUAUACCAAAUGAAAGCUGAGACAAAGAUCUAAAACUUUCAUGAAUUGACCAAAUUCUGAAUCUGUAGGUAAGAUGAUGAAAAUUUGAAGUGAACCUAAACUGGAUACAGAGUUAGUGCAUCCGGAACAGUGUGUAUUGAUUAUACUAUAACUAAUUAUGUACUCAGUGAAAUUUGUUAAUACCAGUGCCAAAUGAAUCCUAAGAAGUAUACCUACAACUUUGUAGAAGACACUUAAGCUUUAAUUUGUAUGGAAAUGUAUGAAUCUGAUAAUUUUUGUGAUACUAUAAACAGGUACUAAGACUGGACUGAUUAAGACCUGAUUGAGCAGCUUAUAAAGAAAAAUUCAUAACUUAAGUUAGGAUGAUCAGAAUUGCAUGAAUCAUACCUUGUUGGAAAGAUAAGACAUAAAUGUACAUUUCUUAUGAAGAAACUGAAGUUAAAUUAUAACUCUAAACUACUUGAAAAGUUGAUGCAAUAUAUGGCAGAAUGUAGUUUUCUACAUUAAAAUGCUAAGUCANNNN
This 1202-nucleotide long non-coding RNA is filed under the name Manihot esculenta (cassava). Its description in RNAcentral is "long non-coding RNA (MESC_LNC011516)". The record is from RNAcentral. Lineage: Eukaryota; Viridiplantae; Streptophyta; Magnoliopsida; Malpighiales; Euphorbiaceae.